This 224-nucleotide ribosomal RNA is filed under the name uncultured bacterium. Its description in RNAcentral is "partial 16S ribosomal RNA". It matches the Rfam family "Bacterial small subunit ribosomal RNA", at positions 147 to 353 of the family's 1533-position model. The record is from RNAcentral.
CAGUUGGAAACGACUGCUAAUACCGCAUACGAUCUGACCUCGGCAUCGAGGAUAGAUGAAAGGUGGCCUCUAUUUAUAAGCUAUCACUGAAGGAGGGGAUUGCGUCUGAUUAGCUAGUUGGAGGGGUAACGGCCCACCAAGGCGAUGAUCAGUAGCCGGUCUGAGAGGAUGAACGGCCACAUUGGGACUGAGACACGGCCCAGACUCCUACGGGAGGCAGCAUG